AACGAACGCUGGCGGCAGGCCUAACACAUGCAAGUCGAACGCUCCGCAAGGGGAGUGGCGCACGGGUGAGUAACACGUGGGAACCUACCUUCUGGUACGGAACAACCAAGGGAAACUUUGGCUAAGACCGUAUACGGCCUCCGGGUGAAAGAUUGAUCGCCGGAAGAGGGGCCCGCGUCCGAUUAGGUAGUUGGUGAGGUAACGGCUCACCAAGCCUUCGAUCGGUAGCUGGUCUGAGAGGAUGACCAGCCACACUGGGACUGAGACACGGCCCAGACUCCUACGGGAGGCAGCGGUGGGGAAUAUUGGACAAUGGGCGCAAGCCUGAUCCAGCCAUGCCGCGUGAGUGAUGAAGGCC
This 358-nucleotide ribosomal RNA is filed under the name uncultured bacterium. RNAcentral describes it as "bacterial SSU rRNA". It matches the Rfam family "Bacterial small subunit ribosomal RNA", at positions 29 to 416 of the family's 1533-position model. The record is from RNAcentral.